This 1547-nucleotide long non-coding RNA is filed under the name Ricinus communis (castor bean). RNAcentral describes it as "long non-coding RNA (RCOM_LNC002768)". The record is from RNAcentral. Lineage: Eukaryota; Viridiplantae; Streptophyta; Magnoliopsida; Malpighiales; Euphorbiaceae.
AUACACAUUACACAAACUCUAAAUAUCUCUUUCUCUCGAGCCUUCAUUGUCCUCUAACCUCACGCCGUCCUCUUCUUCAACCUAAGCCUCUGCUUCUUUCUUCUUUUUUAAGCUCACUAUAUGUCCCAGAUAGGGACCAAUUAUUGAUAAGACUGUUUUAGAUAUGUAUCAACAUUCCAUCUUCGUAUUCUUCUUCUUUCUUUAGUUCUUCAUCAUCUCUCUCAAGCCCUCAACGAUUUGCAUUCAAGCACAUAAUGGAUUUGCUCAUAGUUUUCUUUUCUUUCAGGGACUUAAGCAGGAGGUGGAACAGUGUCGCUCAUUUAAGCAAAAAGUGGUACAACUUGUUAAUUUCUUUUCUAUUUGUUCAAGUAUCUUUUGCAGUUCACUUUAGGUUCUGUCUUUCUGGAAACUGGAUAAUAAAUGAAAAUUAAAAAAAUAUGUGUACCUCUUUUUAACUCAUUUCCCAUGUGUUUUGGUUAAAAUGGUAUAUGAGUCUUUUAGUUGGAAAAGCAAAAGAAAAGUUAACGUGUUCAAUGUUUUUACGCUUCUUAUUAAUGUUCACUACUUUAAAAAUACAUAUUUGACAAAGUUAUUCUUGCAGUGUAUAUUCUCAAUUACUUUUCAUUUUCUCCAAAGGUUUGCUGUAUAACAUGUAGUUUAGAUUAUAUGGACAUGUUCUACGGAAUAGAACAAAAGGAGAUUGAGUGAGAGUUGUGCAGACAUAUCAAAUACAAAAGUGAUUUUGGAUUUUGAAGCUCUUGCUUUAAUGCCUUAGUGUUUAAUUUUAGUUCGAACGGCUUUCUUUUUUAGUUUAGUUCUGUUAGUUUUUAUUUCUUUAGAGACAUUGUGCAUAUUGAAUUCUCUACUAUUCUAAUGGGAACAUAGGGUUUCAAUGCUCUGCUAUUUUUCUUACCAGUAUAGAACUAUAUUUUAGAAAGUGUAGUUUAGAGUUCUAUUUAUUGUCAAGAAUGAACAACCGACUUAUUCUUCAUUGUCAUUAUUCUGCACUAAAAGAUCAGAACAUCUGUAGUAGCAUUAAAAUGUCUGAGUUACAUAUGUGGAUUUAAUCUUUACUUGCAUAACCUUCAGCCGGUCUAUUUGCAUGCUGCAAGUGGCAUUACUGAUAUUGCAAUUUAUAUGACUUCAUUAUUUUAUCAAGAAAUAUGAAUUCAUUACUUUGAAGAUGAUAGUUAUAGUUUGAUUAUAGGAAAAAAACCAUAUGGAAUCAAUUAAUUUUCUUAGACCCAAGAUUUCAUUCUUGAGUUCAAACUUGAUGUAGCAAUUUAAUGAUUCAUUUUUUGUCUCUUUGUCCUAAUUAAACUCUAAAAAAACGGUUUAAUCUCUAAUUUUGUAUGUAACUGAUGGUCUUAUAUUAAUGUUGCAGACUCCUAUGGAGUAUUUGUAUAAGGCGACUCAUAAUAAAGGAGAAUCUAAUAGAAAUUUCAAAGGAGGCAAAGAUAAAAUAUCUUAUGAAACAAUGGAGUUCAUCACAUUAUGUUAUCUUGUAGUACUAAUUUUUAUUAUUAGAAUUUAUUUUUAUGUCAUAG